AAACAUUUGAAGCACUUGUCUUCCUUUCUAUGGCAGAGAAAGCUCAGAAUCUCAAGGAAGAUGAGGAAGACAGCGAAGAGGACAGCAGUGGUGAGAGUGAGGGAGAAGGCAGCGAGGACUUAAGUGACGAGAGUUCUGAUGAGUGUGAAGAUGGAUCAUGAAGGUCACUGGGUGGCUUCAGCUUCGUGUAUUUUCAUUAUUGUAUACCAUGCACAUAUAAAGAGGGAGAGCUGCAUUUUUGUCUAUUGGUUCUUUCUUUGGUACAGAGAGUUCUUUUCAGUUAUCCGUAAUCUUAGUUGGAGCUCCUUCCUAAUAUUUAAGCCUUUAGUCAAUACGAAUUAGAAAAUAGUAUGUGCCAGGUACUGUGUGCUCUACACACAUUAUUAUUUAAUUGAACAACUCCAUGAACUUGACCCAUUCUACAGAUGAGAAAACUGAGAUGAAGAGAGUUGUAAGUAGCUCACCUAGCCUCUUGUGCACCUAUUAAUUUGUACAGCCUAGAUGUAGAUGUGGACAUUAUGACUCCAGAAGCUAUAUUUUCAGUCCCCCAUGAAGGACCACCACAUCAGGCACAUUUAUGUCAUUUGUUUGGUUCUUUAUGGCAUAUAUCAACAUCUGAAACACUUCAUUUUUUGUUCUUCUUAUCCUCUCCCUAACUGACAUACAAUGCAACGUCCAUGAAGCAAGACUUUUUCUUUUUCACUAUUGUAUUCCUAGAAACUGGAUAAAUGUCUG
Molecule: long non-coding RNA, 735 nt
Filed under: Marmota monax (woodchuck)
Lineage: Eukaryota; Metazoa; Chordata; Mammalia; Rodentia; Sciuridae
Source: RNAcentral